RNAcentral lists this ribosomal RNA (506 nucleotides) under uncultured Glomeromycotina. RNAcentral's name for it is "partial small subunit ribosomal RNA". It matches the Rfam family "Eukaryotic small subunit ribosomal RNA", at positions 591 to 1092 of the family's 1831-position model. Lineage: Eukaryota; Fungi; Glomeromycota. The record is from RNAcentral.
CCAAUAGCGUAUAUUAAAGUUGUUGCAGUUAAAAAGCUCGUAGUUGAAUUUCGGGAUUGACACAUCGGUCGUGCCUUAAGGGGUAUGAACUGGUGUAGUCAAUUUCUCACCUUCUGGAGAACCGCGAUGCCCUUAAUUGGGUGUCACGGGGAACCAGGACCUUUACUUUGAAAAAAUUAGAGUGUUUAAAGCAGGCAUUUUGCUUGAAUACAUUAGCAUGGAAUAAUAAAAUAGGACGGCAUGAUUCUAUUUUGUUGGUUUCUAGGAUCACCGUAAUGAUUAAUAGGGAUAGUUGGGGGCAUUAGUAUUCAAUUGUCAGAGGUGAAAUUCUUGGAUUUAUUGAAGACUAACUACUGCGAAAGCAUUUGCCAAGGAUGUUUUCAUUAAUCAAGAACGAAAGUUAGGGGAUCGAAGACGAUCAGAUACCGUCGUAGUCUUAACCAUAAACUAUGCCGACUAGGAAUCAGACGACGUUAAUUUUUUAAUGACUCGUUUGGCACCUUACG